Long non-coding RNA from Stegostoma tigrinum, 1074 nucleotides. RefSeq lists it as uncharacterized. The record is from RefSeq and is a predicted model, not a curated record. NCBI's taxonomy places the organism in Eukaryota, Metazoa, Chordata, Chondrichthyes, Orectolobiformes, Stegostomatidae. The transcript has 3 exons.
CUCCCCGCGCUCUCCCCCCGCUCUCCCCGCGCUCCCUCUCCGCGCUCCCUCUCCGCUCUCCCCGCGCUCUCCCCCCGCUCUCCCCGCGCUCCCUCUCCGCUCUCCCCGCGCUCUCCCCCCGCUCUCCCCGCGCUCCCUCUCCGCUCUCCCCGCGCUCUCCCCCCGCUCUCCCCGCGCUCCCUCUCCGCUCUCCCCGCGCUCUCCCCCCGCUCUCCCCGCGCUCCCUCUCCGCUCUCCCCGCGCUCUCCCCCCGCUCUCCCCGCGCUCCCUCUCCGCUCUCCCCGCGCUCUCCCUCCGGCUCCGGGGCGCUGCUUACGCCUGUUUCCUGCCGGGGGCCGAUUAUGACGCUGGAGCCUGGCGGCGGCUGUCAAAGCCUGGGCCCUGACCCCCGCCCCAUUCUGAUCAAUGCAAACCCCCCGGCGGCUGUUGUUCUAUCCCAGCUCCAUCUCCUCCGACCAAAAUGAGCUCCCCCACAAACCCAGAACCAAGGAGGUUCCCCAUCGAGGCAGGCGAUUCCAAGGGAUCCGUGUCGAGGCCAGUAAACCCGGUUCCCGAGCUCCCAAACCACCGCUCUGCCAGACAGCUGAGAAGAUGUCCAGGUAGUCACUGCUUGACUAUUCCUCAUGUUUCCAUCGAUGUUUAUAUUGCAAUGGACAGGAACCCUCCAGCACGGGCAACGUAACCUGCCACGAAAGUAUUAGAAUAAAUGUCAGAAUAUGGGAGCAGGUAGUGGAAGACUAGGGUAUUGUGGUGGCUGCCUAAGAAAAUGUCUCUGUACAAUGCAAUAAAAAUAGUCUUCAAAUACCACUCAUGCACUGAAGCCAUCUUUUAAAAUUCUUAUUGACUUCAGUUUGGCUCAGUUCCAACCCCCAAUACUUAAAAUAAUGACUUACCUCUCAUUUGACUUUUAUCUAAAUGACCUAAUUCAAAUUUCUAGAAGAAUUUCAUUCAACUCAACCUGUCGGCAAGAAAGACUUGGUGGAAAUAUUGCAGCCACAUUUUGUUUUGGCAAUGUAAUGGAUUGGGAUAAAUCAGAGCUCUCCAACUCCAUAAUAAACAUUUGUGACCAAACUA